This 750-nucleotide ribosomal RNA is filed under the name Lactococcus lactis. RNAcentral describes it as "bacterial SSU rRNA". It matches the Rfam family "Bacterial small subunit ribosomal RNA", at positions 50 to 785 of the family's 1533-position model. The record is from RNAcentral. Lineage: Bacteria; Bacillati; Bacillota; Bacilli; Lactobacillales; Streptococcaceae.
UAUACUGCAGUUGAGCGCUGAAGGUUGGUACUUGUACCGACUGGAUGAGCAGCGAACGGGUGAGUAACGCGUGGGGAAUCUGCCUUUGAGCGGGGGACAACAUUUGGAAACGAAUGCUAAUACCGCAUAAAAACUUUAAACACAAGUUUUAAGUUUGAAAGAUGCAAUUGCAUCACUCAAAGAUGAUCCCGCGUUGUAUUAGCUAGUUGGUGAGGUAAAGGCUCACCAAGGCGAUGAUACAUAGCCGACCUGAGAGGGUGAUCGGCCACAUUGGGACUGAGACACGGCCCAAACUCCUACGGGAGGCAGCAGUAGGGAAUCUUCGGCAAUGGACGAAAGUCUGACCGAGCAACGCCGCGUGAGUGAAGAAGGUUUUCGGAUCGUAAAACUCUGUUGGUAGAGAAGAACGUUGGUGAGAGUGGAAAGCUCAUCAAGUGACGGUAACUACCCAGAAAGGGACGGCUAACUACGUGCCAGCAGCCGCGGUAAUACGUAGGUCCCGAGCGUUGUCCGGAUUUAUUGGGCGUAAAGCGAGCGCAGGUGGUUUAUUAAGUCUGGUGUGAAAGGCAGUGGCUCAACCAUUGUAUGCAUUGGAAACUGGUAGACUUGAGUGCAGGAGAGGAGAGUGGAAUUCCAUGUGUAGCGGUGAAAUGCGUAGAUAUAUGGAGGAACACCGGUGGCGAAAGCGGCUCUCUGGGCCUGUAACUGACACUGAGGCUCGAAAGCGUGGGGAGCAAACAGGAUAGAUAC